Molecule: ribosomal RNA, 305 nt
Filed under: uncultured bacterium
Lineage: Bacteria
Description: bacterial SSU rRNA
Rfam family: Bacterial small subunit ribosomal RNA
Source: RNAcentral
UGUUCCUACGGGGGGCAGCAGUGAGGAAUAUUGGUCAAUGGACGCAAGUCUGAACCAGCCAUGCCGCGUGCAGGAAGACGGCUCUAUGAGUUGUAAACUGCUUUUGUACGAGGGUAAACGCAGAUACGUGUAUUUGUCUGAAAGUAUCGUACGAAUAAGGAUCGGCUAACUCCGUGCCAGCAGCCGCGGUAAUACGGAGGAUUCAAGCGUUAUCCGGAUUUAUUGGGUUUAAAGGGUGCGUAGGCGGUCGGAUAAGUUAGAGGUGAAAUGUCCGGGCUCAACUCGGGAACUGCCUCUAAUACUGU